This 242-nucleotide long non-coding RNA is filed under the name Hordeum vulgare. RNAcentral's name for it is "long non-coding RNA (HVUL_LNC013672)". Lineage: Eukaryota; Viridiplantae; Streptophyta; Magnoliopsida; Poales; Poaceae. The record is from RNAcentral.
UUGUAAUCGUGCAGCUAACACGCCUGCCCACUUGUGUGCAAAGCAAGCUAGCACUCGAGAGGUGUCGGAGUGUUGGAUGCCAUCGCAACCUAGCUUCCUUGUAACUUGCCUCCAGACAGAUUCUGCCAGGGCUUUUGCUGAAUAAAAUUCCCAUAUUUCCAGUCAAAAAAAAGACAACGGUAUUAAUGUGCAAUACAGUUUCUGUAAAGAAAACACAAAACAGUGGUUUCCUGAAGAUCCCU